Molecule: non-coding RNA, 711 nt
Organism: Megalobrama amblycephala (Wuchang bream)
Lineage: Eukaryota; Metazoa; Chordata; Actinopteri; Cypriniformes; Xenocyprididae
Source: the annotation of a RefSeq genome assembly
GUGCUCUGAGAGUGUUUAUAGUGCUGUGAGUUUAACACUUCAUCACUGACACACACAACAAUCUUCAUCAACAUGACCUUCAUCAUCAUCUGGACGCUCUUAUACUGCUUUACACUACAAGACUGUAGAGCUCAGAUCACAGUGACUCAGACUGCAGUAAAAACUGUUAAACCAGAAGAAACUGUUACGAUGAGCUGUAAAUUCAGUACAGCUCCAGACUGCAGCCCACCAUGUGUUGCUUGGUACUUACAGAAACCUGGAGAAGCUCCUAAACUCCUGAUUUAUGAAACAAACACCCUCCAGUCAGGAACUCCAUCUAGAUUCAGUGGCAGUGGAUCUAACAGUGAUUUCACUCUGACCAUCAGUGGAGUCCAGACUGAAGAUGCUGGACAUUAUUACUGUCAGAGUUACCACUGGAUCAACAGUAAAGCAGUGUUCACACAGUGAUAAAGAGUCGUACAAAAACCUCCGUCAGUCAGAGUCACAGUGACUGAACUGAUACUGCAGCUGCUCACACACUUUCACACACUUUCACACACAGAAGGUUUUCAAACACACAGAUCUAAACAUUCUUCUAUAAAUGUUUCUCUCUCAUAAACUCAUCUCAGAGCACAUCUGAAACCAGACAAAAUGGACCUGAUGGACUCAUUUCUGUUUAUGAUAAUUUAUCUUUGGCUGCAUUAUGAUUUCCACAUAUAUGGCAUAUGACAA